GCUACAUCGACCGGUCACACGCAACACGAAGAAACAAAAAUGUCCAACUUUCCAUAUUUUACGUCGUUUCAACAAGGAAAUGAGGACUCUCUAGUCAAUUAUGGGACACCAACAGAUGGAAGUUUAUCUGACGCCGCAGACAUUGAAGAAUUUAGUGAAAAUGAGAAUGCAGGGAGGUUCCAAUGUGAUAUUCACACACCCCAACUGCC
Long non-coding RNA from Ornithodoros turicata, 209 nucleotides. RefSeq lists it as uncharacterized. The transcript is spliced from 3 exons. NCBI's taxonomy places the organism in Eukaryota, Metazoa, Arthropoda, Arachnida, Ixodida, Argasidae. The record is from RefSeq and is a predicted model, not a curated record.